RNAcentral lists this long non-coding RNA (5678 nucleotides) under Sus scrofa (pig). Its description in RNAcentral is "lncRNA (ENSSSCG00060056642.1)". The record is from RNAcentral. Lineage: Eukaryota; Metazoa; Chordata; Mammalia; Artiodactyla; Suidae.
GGAGCAUGAGUGUGGGAAGGACGAGCUUUAAAAGGACCAUUAAGUUACGCCGAUAGUGGCAGAAGGAAAAACCGGAUGCAGCCAAUUCUACUGCAUUUAUUUGUUGUUUCUUUUUAAUGAUUUUUAUUUUUAUCCAUUAUAGUUGGUUUGCAAGUGUUCUGUCAAUUUUUUUUAAUUUUUUAUCUUAUUUUUUAAAUGAUUUUUAUGUUUUUCCAUUAUAGCUGGUUUACAGUGUUCUGUCAGUUUUCUACUGUACAGCAAGAUGACCCAGUCACACAUACAUAUAUACAUUCCUUUUCCUCCCAUUAUCAUGCUCCAUAAUAAGAGACUAGAUGUAGUUCCCAGUGCUAUACAGCAGGAUCUCAUCGCUUAUCCAUUCUGAAGGCAAUAGUUUGCGUCCAUUAACCCUAAAUUCCCAGUCCAUCCCACUCCCUCCCCCUUGGCAACCACAAGUCUGUUCUCCAUGUCCAUGAUUUUCUUUUCCGUGGAAAGCUUCAUUUGUGCCAUUUAUUAGAUUCCAGAUAUAAGUGAUAUCAUAUGGUAUUUCUCUUUCUCUUUCUGAUUUACUUCACUUAGUAUGAGAGUCUCCAGUUCCAUCCAUGUAGCUUGCUGCAGAUGGCAUUAUGUCGUCUUUUUUAAGGUUGAGUAGUAUUCCAUUGUGUUUAUAUACCACAUCUUCUUAAUCUAUUCAUCUGUUGAUGGACAUUCAGGUUGUUUCAAUGCCUUGGCUAUUGUGCAUUUCUUUUUUCUUUUUUCUUUUUCUUUUUUUGUCUUUUUGUCUUUUCUAGGGCCACACCCACAGCAUAUGGACUUUCCCAGGCUAGGGGUCCAAUUGGAGCUGUAGUUGCCAGCCUGUGCCAGAGCCACACCAACGCCAGAUCCGAGCUGUGUUAGUGACCUAUACCACAGCUCAUGGCAACGCCAGAUCCUUAACCCACUGAGUGAGGCCAGGGAUCGAACCCACAACCUCAUGGUUCCUCGUUGGAUCCGUUAACCACUGAGCCACGACGGGAACUCCUGUGCAUUUCUGCUGCAUUUAAAAUUGUUCUUCACUUCCAUCACCUGAGGAAAGCAGGUGGGCGGGACUUUGGGACUCAUCACUUCAAGUUGUAAAGAACCUCUUAGCAUCAUGUGGAGUAAGCUGGCUUUGAGUUUGAAUGUUGCUUAAGCCCAUAAAGUGGCCCUGGGUGUCGGAACCCAUUGGGAUAUGAUUUGCAUUUCCAGAGCUGUGUCAAAUUUAGGAAAGCGUCCAGGAAAUUCCUUUUGUCUGUGAGCUGCAAAAUUGGAAGAUAUUUCCGCAGACUAGCUUCCACUGUCUCAAACCUUAUGUCUCGUGAACUUCAGUGACACCUGUGGUGCUGGGACCUCUGGAGCAUUUUCAUGCAGAGAGGGGGGCUGUUGCUGUAGCACCUCUAUGCCACGUCACCGAAAGACUCCGCCCUGCAGGGGUGGGCACCGUCCCCAUACGUGGAUGGGCAGUAGGCAGAAGAGUGGUCCUCGAAGACGUCCCUGUCCUGAUGCCCAGAAUAUGUGCAUGUGUUACCCUGCAGGGUAAAGGGGAUUUGGAGGAUAUGAUAACGUUAAGAGCCUCGAGGUGAUGACCUUGGAGUCUUCAGACAGAGGUCCCAGUGUCGUCAUAAGGGGCCUUGGCAAAGGGAGGCAGGAGGGUCAGACUCAGAGAAGCAGAUGUGAGGAAGGGAGCAGAGGUUGGAAUGAUGUGGGGCUUUGGGCCAAGGAACACAGAAACCUCUACAACUGGAAAAAGCCAGGAGAUGGAGCCUCCGCUAGAGCCUUGGAAGGGAUGUAGGCCUGGAGGGCCAUUCUGGGUUUCUUUCUUUUUUUUUUUCUUUUUACAGCUGCACCUGCAGCAUAUGGAAGUUCCCAGGUUAGGGGUCAAAGUGGAGCUGUAGCUGCCGGCCUCCACCACAGCCAUGGCACCCCGAGAUCCAAGCUGCAUCUCUUUCCUAUGUCUCAGCUUGUGGCAUUGCCAGAUCUUCAACCCACUGAGAGACGCCAGGGAUCGAACCUGCAUCCUCAUGGACUAUAUUGGGUUGUUAACCCACUGAGCCACAAAGGGAAUUCCCCGUUCUGGCUUUCUGACAGCCAGGUCUGCUCAGAUAAGAACCUUGUCUUGCUUUAAGUCACAGCGUUCGUGAUGAUUUGUUACCGAGUAAGACAAAACUAAUAGUAUCGAUGAGCAGUAACUUCAACGUAGAAAAAAAUGCUGAGAUGGAGUUCCUGUUGUGGUGCAGCAGAAACGAAUCCGACUAGUAUCCAUUAGGACGCGGGUUCCGUUUCACUCAGUGGGUCAGGGAUGGUGUUGCCAUGAGCUGUGGUGUAGGUUGCAGAUGCAGCUCAGAUCCUAAGUGACUGUGGCUGUGGCCGGCAGCUGCAGCUCUGAUUCGACCCCUAGCCUGGGAACCUCCAUGUGCCGCGGUGCGGACCUAAACGAGCAAAAAAGAAAAGAAAAGAAAAAAGAAAAAUUGCUGAGAUAUUUCAAAAGAUGUCCCACUCAACUGAAACUGUUACUUCAUCUUCUCUGUCCCUUCAUGAUCCAACUUCCACUUGGAUGGUCCAGCCGUACCUGAGAGAAAGGAAAAUGCAGGAGAGAAGUUGCGACAUGUAGAGAGCAUAACUCACUGCAGCAAAGUCUGUUCCUUCUGCAGAUGAUCCAGUAGCAAAUGGCCAUGUGAACACCACAGACUUUUAGGGCCCAGGGCCAGAAUUCCUGUGAGCCACUGGCAUCCAAGAUCAGAACUUUCCUUAUGGAAAAUUUUGAGGGAGUUCGUGCUGCAGUGCAGAAUCCAGUAUUGUCUCUGCAGCUGCUGCAGUUGGUACUAAGGCACGCGUUUGAUCCCUAGCUCGGCCCAAGUGGGUUAAGGAUCUGAUGUUGCUGCGGCUAUGGCAUAGGUUGAAGCUGUGGCUCUGGUUUGAUUGCCUGGCCUGGGAACUUUCUUUUGCUGUGGGUGCAGCCAAAACAAUAAAUAAAUAAAAAUAAAAAUAAAAAAUAAAAUUUUAAGGUGUUUCUUGGUGGCCCAGUGGAUAAGGUUUUGGCAUUAUCACUGCUGUGGCAAAAGUUUGGUCCCUGGCCCGGGUGCUUCUGCAUGCAGCAGGCGCUGCCAAAACAAUAAAAAGUAAAGAAAUAAAAUUUUGAUAUGUUGUUCCUAAUGGGAUUUUUUUUUUGCAUUAAUUUAGGUUUUUAAAGACAAUGUAUUAAAAUCUUAUUUCUCCUGAGUGCUUACUUUCUGGGCCCUGCCCUCAGUUCUGUGCAGAGAGUGCCUCAUUCGCCCCACUGCAGAAAUGAAGGCUGAGCUUGAGACUGACUAGCCUCGCAGAAAUCCGCCUCCACAGCGCCGAGAGACCUAGAAUAAAAGGAAUGCCUCCACAGUAGACGGGUCUUCAGGCCUGAGCAUUCCCGUAGCAAGAGGCCAUGACCAAAGCCUCUGGGACUGAAAAUUGCCCAGGCCGCCUCCUCUGAAGGCAGCCUUGGUUCCAGAAACACGGGGCGCAGAGGACCCGGGAGCCUGGGGGAUGCUGGCAGGAAAGGGGCAGUGACCAGCUUGGCAUUUCGUUUACUGCGCAGAGUUUACAAGAUGCAGGUGUCUGGUGCUGCCCCCUGAGAGAGACACACACUCUCAAGACUGGGACUCUGGUUGGAUUUGGGGUGGAUCGGCCAGUAAAGGAAGGGCAGCAGGAGAAACUAUUUCCAGGUCUCACGUCUCAUGCUCCGGGCGCCUGUAUCACACCCAGGACUGGCCCCUCGUGCCCAAGUGAAACUCUUGGUGGCCGUCACUCCCAGCUGAACUGAGGUGCGUUGAUGGUGGGCUGUGUCCAUGCUGGUGAGACAGACACCAGGCUGACUGUCUCUGAAUCCUGCCUCCUUCUGCCCUGAUCACCGCGGCCGUAUGCAACCUGGUGAACGGUCCGGCUCACGGUCUCUGUGCACAGAGGCCAGGGUGGCCUGCGCCCUUGGAGGGCUUGGAACAGAGAAGUGAGCUGCUUGGCUUUCUCCCUCCUCCACUCCCGUCCUGACUGGAGCAGCCUCCACCAGAGAGCGGAUGUCCUGGUCUGCCCGUCGUCCCCGUGCCAGUGCCACAGGGCCACACCCGCUAGGGACGCUGCAGGUAGAGGUCACUCUGGGGAGCCUGACUGGGAGGAGUGCCUGCUCCUGUAUUUCCAACCGGUACCUCCCCAUUCAGCCUUGAUGGGGCACAAAGUGGGUUUUUUGUUUUUUUUUUUUUUUGGCUUUUUAGGGCCGUGCCUGUGGCACAUGGAGGUUACCAGGCUAGUGUUCAAAUCGGAGCUGCAGCUGCUGUCCUACGCCACAGCAACUCCAGACCCAAGCCAUGUCUGUGACCUGUGCCACAUCUUGCAGCAACAUCAGAUCCUUAACCCACUGAGUGAGGCCAGGGAUCGAACCCUCCCCCUCAUGGAUACUAGUCAGGUUCUUAACCCACUGAGUCACAUGGGGAACUCCAGUGCCCAUUUUUAAUUCCAGUUGUCUGGCUUCUCUCUCUCUCAAUUAUUUCCAGAUUCAGCUCAGAAAAAGCUGGUGUUCAUUUAGUGGGUUCUCUUAAUCGUCAACAUUGGAUGACCAAUAAAUCUGCUCAAUAAGACGUUGGAUGACCAAUAAAUCUGCUCAAUAAGUAAGUAGCCGGAUUUUUAUGAUGGGCCUCAAGUUUAUGCAUUUGCAUAAUUUCAAGGAACUAUGAGUCAUUUAGCUAAGAUUGCCACAGGGGAGAGAAAUUGUGUGUACGUGUGUGUGUGUGUGUGUGUGUGUGUGUGUAUAACUAAUCUUAAGUAUAUUUUACAUCCAAAUUUGAUCAAAUUUAUUUUUUUGGCAAAUGUAAUAAAGCUACUUAUAGACCCUAUCCCACUUCCUAAGAAAUAUAACUUUUUGAUGCAGCCCAUUGUAGUAUGUGUGUGUGCAUCUGUGUGUGUGCACACGUGUUGAUGGAGGCCAGAUUGUGUGGAGGCAGAAGCCAGAUUGUGUGUAUGUGUGUGUGUAAUUAAGGCUUUUAGCAUGCACUUUAUUUGAUUUGAAUUUGAUCUUCUUUAAGUGCAAGGUGAAACAUAGAAUCAAGUCUCACAAAGAAAUCCAAAAGCAUUGUAAAAAUUGUACAGUUUCAAACAUCAUUCAGAUACAAACUCACGCCCGGCCAUGAUUUGAUCCGACAGGCCCCAAGGAUUGGUUUGGAUUUCUCUUGUCCUAGAUUUUCCAGACUUGGAGCUCUUUGUCAGGUGGCCUCUCUGCUCAUUGGUCAGGCGAUCAGACCUGUUGAAAACCAGCCAUCCUCUGACACCGCCUGGUUCAGUCAGUGUAACGAAUCUUUGCUCUCCCUGUCCAGGCCAAUGGGUUUAAUCUGGCAGUCGUGACGCGAGUUGGCGCCUAAGGCCCACGUGUUUCUCCUGCACAUCUUGAAUAUUCUCUAUUUUGAGGCACCCCCCCCUGCAGUGCCUCCAACCAUUCAGAGCUGGUUCCCAAACCUUCUGUAAAGCUCCCCCUGGCAUCCUUUUGUGACUCUCAGUUGGGACUCCCAAAGAAGGGGCUCCCCCGACCCAAGCAUUCAGGAACUACCCCAUGGAAAAACAUCUCCAUUUUCGUUGAAAAAGCCCAGCAUCACCAGAUUGGGCAUUGCUGGUAAGUUCUCACGUGCUGACUGGUGUCAGACAAAAGA